This 253-nucleotide ribosomal RNA is filed under the name uncultured bacterium. Its description in RNAcentral is "partial 16S ribosomal RNA". It matches the Rfam family "Bacterial small subunit ribosomal RNA", at positions 524 to 776 of the family's 1533-position model. The record is from RNAcentral.
UACGGAGGAUCCAAGCGUUAUCCGGAAUCAUUGGGUUUAAAGGGUCCGUAGGCGGUCUUAUAAGUCAGUGGUGAAAGCCCCAUCGCUCAACGAUGGAACUGCCAUUGAUACUGUAAAACUUGAAUGCUUAGGAAGUAACUAGAAUAUGUAGUGUAGCGGUGAAAUGCUUAGAUAUUACAUGGAAUACCAAUUGCGAAGGCAGGUUACUACUAAGUGAUUGACGCUGAUGGACGAAAGCGUGGGAGCGAACAGG